CUGCUAAUGAUGAGAUAUUCAUCCUUGCCCUGCGAGCUGUAGAAGGGAGAUUCGAUGAGGAUUACCUAAUCGAUGUCGCUUCCACAGCCAUGAACAGUGUUGGCCUCUGAAGCGG
This 115-nucleotide small nucleolar RNA is filed under the name Dictyocaulus viviparus (bovine lungworm). RNAcentral describes it as "Nematode snoRNA ceN47". It matches the Rfam family "Nematode snoRNA ceN47". Lineage: Eukaryota; Metazoa; Nematoda; Chromadorea; Rhabditida; Metastrongylidae. The record is from Rfam by way of RNAcentral.